RNAcentral lists this ribosomal RNA (1502 nucleotides) under Candidatus Acidifodinimicrobium mancum. Its description in RNAcentral is "bacterial SSU rRNA". It matches the Rfam family "Archaeal small subunit ribosomal RNA". Lineage: Archaea; Nanobdellati; Candidatus Parvarchaeota; Candidatus Acidifodinimicrobiaceae. The record is from RNAcentral.
AUUCCAGUUGAUCCUGCUGGAGGUCACUGCUAUUGGGGUUCGAAUGAGACAUGCAAGUCAAAUCUGCUAGGUAAUAGCGGAUGGCGUACGGCUGAGGCAACACACAGAUAAUGUACGGCGAUGAGGGGAAUAUCCUCGGGAAACUGAGAGUAAAUCCCCGUAGCAAUAAUCUCUGAAAUGACUUUAUUGUGAAAGUGUUUACUGCUGAUACCGCAGUAUUCAGCAUCGCAAUCGGUCUGUGCCUGAUUAGACUGUUGGUGAGGUAACGGCCCACCAAAUCUACGAUCAGUAAGGGCCAUAAGCGUGGUUUCCCUCAGAAGGGUACUUAGACAAGGACCCUAGCGCUACGGCGUGCAGCAGUCCCGAAAACUUUACAAUGCGCGAAAGCGUGAUAGGGGGACCCCAAGUGUUCUUUUCUUUUUGGAAAGAACUUUUAUAGUAUUUUUAAAUGGUACUAAGAAUAAGGGCUGGGCAAAUAGGUGCCAGCAGCCGCGGUAAUACCUAUGGCCCAAGUAGUGACCACUUUUAUUGAGUCUAAAGCGUUCGUAGCUGGCUUGAGAAGUCUAUAUUUAAAUCAUUCAGCUUAACUGGAUGACACGGUAUAGAUACUCUCAGGCUAGAGAUCGGAAGAGGGAUUGGGAACUUUUUGGGUAGGAGUAAAAUCCUUUAAUCCAAAAAAGACCACCAGUGGCGAAGGCGCAAUCCCAGGACGAAUCUGACAGUGAGGGACGAAGGCUAGGAGAACAAACCGGAUUAGAUACCCGGGUAGCCCUAGCAGUAAACGCUGCUUACUAGACGUUACAUUUUCUACGAGAAAAUGUAGUGCCACAGCGAAGGCAUUAAGUAAGCCACUUGGGGAGUACAGUCGCAAGAUCGAAACUUAAAGGAAUUGGCGGGGGAGCACAAAAACGGGUGAAAUUUGCGGUUUAAUUGGAUUCAACUCCGGGAAUCUUACCAAGGGCGACAGCAAGAUGAAGGCCAGUCUAAAGAACUUGCCUAAUGCGCUGAGAGGUGUUGCAUGGCCAUCAUCAGUUAGUAUCUUGAGACGUCCCGUUAAGUCGGGUAACUAACAAGACCCUCAUCCAUAUUUACUAACGCGCAUUCCGAUGCGAGCGAGUAAAAUAUGGAGACCGCACUCGAAAGGGUGAGGAAGGUGAGGGCAAUGGUAGGUCAGUAUGACCCUAAUCCCUUGGGCCACACGCGAAUUGCAAUGGUAAAGGCAAUGGGACGCAACUCCGAAAGGAGGAGCAAACCCUCUAAUCUUUAUCCUAGUUCGGAUCGAGGUUUGUAACUCAGCCUCGUGAAGUCGGAAUCCGUAGUAACCGCAUUUUAUCAAAGUGCGGUGAAUACUUCCCUGCUCCUUGCACACACUGCCCGUCAAACCAGACAAGUUGAAUUUAAGUGAGGUUGUCAUUGAAUGUGAUAAUCGAACUUAAGUUUGGUGAGUAGGGUUAAGUCGCCACAAGGUAGCCGUAGGGGAACCUGCGGCUGGAUCACCUCCU